This is a non-coding RNA of Pelobates cultripes (western spadefoot toad), 87 nucleotides long. The record is from the annotation of a GenBank genome assembly. NCBI's taxonomy places the organism in Eukaryota, Metazoa, Chordata, Amphibia, Anura, Pelobatidae.
AUGGUAACUCCACUUAGUGCAAAAUGGCUUCAGGGGAUCUAUUCACACAUACCGGUAGAACUACGUAAGGUGUGGAACAAAUCCCUU